Gossypium raimondii (Peruvian cotton) is the source of this 1159-nucleotide long non-coding RNA. RefSeq lists it as uncharacterized. The record is from RefSeq and is a predicted model, not a curated record. The transcript has 2 exons. NCBI's taxonomy places the organism in Eukaryota, Viridiplantae, Streptophyta, Magnoliopsida, Malvales, Malvaceae.
UUGCAUGAUUAGUCUAUUUUUAACUUAUUUGGUCUUUUUUGGGGUUGAAUGAUAAUAUCCAAUUUUUGCAUGUCUUACAUAGCAUAUUUAAGCGUAUGAAAUCAUUAGAAUUUGACAAAAUGUCGUUCUAAGUUAAUUUAAAAUCUUAAGUUUGGAACAAUUUUCUGCACUUCAGAAAACGUAAUAAACAUUUGGUAUCAAUACCAUAAAAAAUAUCGAUAACAUAUUAGGGUUUUAUGAUAUUGCACCGUGUUUUUUAAACAUAAAACAAUUUUUCCCCAAACUUUUUUCUCAUCCGUUUUUCAUUCUCAAAACCCCUAACACUCAAAAUCUCAAAUCUUCCAUUUCUUUUUCUUCAUAAUCCCUACACAAAACAACUCCUAUUAUCAUUUUCAUCAAGGAUUACACAAGGUUGCUCAAGGAUUUCACCAUUUUAAAACACAUUUUGAGAUUAUUGGUGGAUCGAUUGCUUUAAGUCGAACAGGCCCUUCUCAUGUAUAACGACAUUACCAAAUCUAUUGGGAGAGACCUAGGUAGCUCUAUAACCUUACCAUUUGGGACCUGUCUUUUUUUUUUUUUUUUUCCCAUUUGGGCAUCAAUACUCGUGUCAAUACCCCCAUCCGAAGACAUCAACCUAUCGGUAUUGGGGCUCUUCAUCAUGCCAAGUACAAGCAAAAUCCCUCUACUGGAGAAUGAGAGAAAGAAGGCCAAGCGACGCGUCAUGAUGAUGAAGACCUUGGAGUUGAUCUUGAUGAUAUUCCACCUCCUGCCAAGCAGGCUUCUUCACCGGCAUCUUCAUCCGCUCAACCAUCUGCUCUGUCUCACUCUGGCAACAUGUUUGCUGCCAUCCUUGGUGCUAUUACUUCCUUGAGUGAGGAGUUUAGUGGUUUUCGUACUUGUGUAGAUGACGCUUUUGAUUGAGUAAAUAAUAAUGUUGGUAAUCUAGGCUCUAAGAUAAAGACUUUGGAGGAGCAAAUGACUCAACUUCUUGCUCACUUUCCUCCAUUGGAUCCUUCAUCAUCACCUAGGAUGAUUAGUUUAGACCAUUCAUACGUUUGCAUCAUGCAUCUUUUAAUUUGUUAAUGCCCUCUUCUAUUGUCCUACUUUAAUUUGGGAUAUUAUCAUGUUUAUUCUUAAUGUUAGUUCGUUGUUUUCAUAA